UCCUGGGGCUGGAGUUGGUCCCAAGGGUUGGGCUGUUCGCCCAUUAAAGCGGUACGCGAGCUGGGUUCAGAACGUCGUGAGACAGUUCGGUCCCUAUCCGCUGCGUUCGUUGGAGAUUUGAGAGGGCCUGUCCCUAGUACGAGAGGACCGGGACGGACGAACCUCUGGUGUGCCAGUUGUACCGCCAGGUGCAUGGCUGGUUUGCUACGUUCGGGAGGGAUAACCGCUGAAAGCAUCUAAGCGGGAAGCCUGCCUCGAGAUAAGAUCUCCGUGCACUGUUUGUGUGUGAGGGUCCCAGUAGAAGACUGGGUUGAUAGGCCAGGAAUGUAAGGCUCGUGAGGGUUUGAGUUGACUGGUACUAAUAUCCCGAUGACUAACAUUA
This 382-nucleotide ribosomal RNA is filed under the name Anaerococcus prevotii. RNAcentral's name for it is "partial 23S ribosomal RNA". It matches the Rfam family "Bacterial large subunit ribosomal RNA", at positions 2545 to 2925 of the family's 2925-position model. Lineage: Bacteria; Bacillati; Bacillota; Tissierellia; Tissierellales; Peptoniphilaceae. The record is from RNAcentral.